Molecule: ribosomal RNA, 253 nt
Filed under: uncultured bacterium
Lineage: Bacteria
Description: partial 16S ribosomal RNA
Rfam family: Bacterial small subunit ribosomal RNA
Source: RNAcentral
UACGUAGGGUGCAAGCGUUGUCCGGAAUUAUUGGGCGUAAAGAGCUCGUAGGCGGUUUGUCGCGUCUGCUGUGAAAACUCAGGGCUUAACCCUGAGCUAGCAGUGGGUACGGGCAGACUAGAGUGCGGUAGGGGAGACUGGAAUUCCUGGUGUAGCGGUGAAAUGCGCAGAUAUCAGGAGGAACACCGGUGGCGAAGGCGGGUCUCUGGGCCGUAACUGACGCUGAGGAGCGAAAGCAUGGGGAGCGAACAGG